This 847-nucleotide ribosomal RNA is filed under the name Brenneria corticis. RNAcentral's name for it is "bacterial LSU rRNA". It matches the Rfam family "Bacterial large subunit ribosomal RNA", at positions 545 to 1262 of the family's 2925-position model. Lineage: Bacteria; Pseudomonadati; Pseudomonadota; Gammaproteobacteria; Enterobacterales; Pectobacteriaceae. The record is from RNAcentral.
AGAACCUGAAACCGUGUACGUACAAGCAGUGGGAGCCCCACCACCAAAACACUUCCGGGCCGAAAGGCGAUGCGGAUGUCGAGGUGAGGGUUGUCAUCGCGUUUUUUGCGAUGACCAACACACAAAACAAGCAGUGAGUGUUUUGGGGUGGGGUGACUGCGUACCUUUUGUAUAAUGGGUCAGCGACUUAUAUUCUGUAGCAAGGUUAACCGCAUAGGGGAGCCGCAGGGAAACCGAGUCUUAACUGGGCGUCAAGUUGCAGGGUAUAGACCCGAAACCCGGUGAUCUAGCCAUGGGCAGGUUGAAGGUUGGGUAACACUAACUGGAGGACCGAACCGACUAAUGUUGAAAAAUUAGCGGAUGACUUGUGGCUGGGGGUGAAAGGCCAAUCAAACCGGGAGAUAGCUGGUUCUCCCCGAAAGCUAUUUAGGUAGCGCCUCGUGAAUUCAUCUGCGGGGGUAGAGCACUGUUUCGACUAGGGGGUCAUCCCGACUUACCAACUCGAUGCAAACUGCGAAUACCGUAGAAUGUUAUCACGGGAGACACACGGCGGGUGCUAACGUCCGUCGUGAAGAGGGAAACAACCCAGACCGCCAGCUAAGGUCCCAAAGUCAUGGUUAAGUGGGAAACGAUGUGGGAAGGCCCAGACAGCCAGGAUGUUGGCUUAGAAGCAGCCAUCAUUUAAAGAAAGCGUAAUAGCUCACUGGUCGAGUCGGCCUGCGCGGAAGAUGUAACGGGGCUAAACCAUGCACCGAAGCUGCGGCAGCGAACGUAUCACCCAAGACAAUUCAGCGUUGUGGAUAACGAUUGAUGGAGCGAAGCGACAUCAAUGCGUCCUACAAAGUCG